This 453-nucleotide ribosomal RNA is filed under the name uncultured bacterium. RNAcentral's name for it is "bacterial SSU rRNA". It matches the Rfam family "Bacterial small subunit ribosomal RNA", at positions 28 to 507 of the family's 1533-position model. The record is from RNAcentral.
GAUAAACGCUGGCGGCGUGCCUAACCCAUGCAAGUCGAACGAUCUCGCAAGAGAGAGUGGCGAACGAGUGAGUAACACGUAGGAAUCUGCCCCUUCGGAGGGAAUAACUGAUCGAAAGAUUAGCUAAUACCCAAAAGGCUCAGCAAUGAGCAGAGUCGAAAGGCCUGAAGGGAGGAGCCUGCGGCCCAUCAGCUAGUUGGUGAGGUAAAAGCCCACCAAGCCUGCGAUCAGUAGCUGGUCUGAGAGGAUGAUCAGCCACACUGGAACUGAGACACGGUCCAGACUCCUACGGGAGGCAGCAGUAAGGAAUAUUGCUCAAUGGCCGAAAGGCUGAAGCAGCAACGCCGCGUGGAGGAUGAAAUACUUUUGUAUGUAAACUCCUGUAAGAAGGGAAAAUAUUCCGAUUUAUCGGGAUUGAUUGUACCUUCAGAGUAAGCCCCGGCUAACUACGUG